Molecule: ribosomal RNA, 63 nt
Filed under: Eggerthella lenta
Lineage: Bacteria; Bacillati; Actinomycetota; Coriobacteriia; Eggerthellales; Eggerthellaceae
Description: partial 23S ribosomal RNA
Source: RNAcentral
AAGAAGAUACUAAGGGCGCACGGCGGAUGCCUUGGCACAGGAAGUCGAAGAAGGACGCGGCAA